GACGAACGCUGGCGGCGUGCUUAACACAUGCAAGUCGAACGGAAAGGCCCUGCUUGCAGGGUGCUCGAGUGGCGAACGGGUGAGUAACACGUGGGUGAUCUGCCCCUUACUUUGGGAUAAGCCUGGGAAACUGGGUCUAAUACUGGAUAGGACCAUGCUGUAGGUGGUGUGGUGGAAAGAUUAGUUUCGGUAAGGGAUGAGCUCGCGGCCUAUCAGCUUGUUGGUGGGGUGAUGGCCUACCAAGGCGUCGACGGGUAGCCGGCCUGAGAGGGUGGACGGCCACAUUGGGACUGAGGGACGGCGCAGACUCCUACGGGCGGCAGCAGUGGGGAAGAUUGGAAAAUGGGGGCAAGCCUGAUGCAGCGACGCCGCGUGGGGGAUGACGGCCUUCGGGUUGUAAGCUCCUUUCAGCCAUGACGAAGCCCUUGUGGUGACGGUAGUGGUAGAAGAAGCACCGGCUAACUACGUG
RNAcentral lists this ribosomal RNA (469 nucleotides) under uncultured bacterium. RNAcentral's name for it is "partial 16S ribosomal RNA". It matches the Rfam family "Bacterial small subunit ribosomal RNA", at positions 28 to 507 of the family's 1533-position model. The record is from RNAcentral.